AUGAUAGUAUUACCAGUGGCACACAAUCAUUCCUGGUUCACAUUAAUUUUUAACUUCCCAAGGAGAAGGACAACAAUCCUCGAUCCGAUGAUAAACAACGGAAACAGACUGGUAGAUGAAAUCCGCAAUGAGCAUAUCAAGUUAGCCGACGAGCUGCCUAGCGCACAAAUGGAUUGUAUUGCAGAAUUCUUCGAUGGAUGGGCACCAAAGACAAAAGGAUGGCAGAAUUGGUUCCCCAAACUGACAACUGGACCUUGGGUCUGCAGCAGGGCUUCUAGCGGUGUACUAGCAUUUUACUUCGCAAGGCAGUGUAUGGGUACAAAAUUACAGAGGACUCUAUCGCCUCUAGGGGAUGAAAUCGACCAAUAUCGGAUGAUGCUUCUCUAUGAAGUUCUUGGGUUAGACGGUAACAUCGGCCAGCUACCUGCUAAAUUUAAUUUAUGCCAGAAUGAACCUUGA
RNAcentral lists this ribosomal RNA (459 nucleotides) under Triticum aestivum (bread wheat). RNAcentral's name for it is "partial small subunit ribosomal RNA". The record is from RNAcentral. Lineage: Eukaryota; Viridiplantae; Streptophyta; Magnoliopsida; Poales; Poaceae.